CUUCGGGGCGGGGUGUGAUUCCCCACCGGUGGUGCGAAAAACGAAACUCGUUUUUCGCGACAGUCCACGAACCCUUUUCGGGCCGAACGGGUGAAAUUCCCGUACCGACGGUAUAGUCCGGAUGAGAGAAGC
This 132-nucleotide non-coding RNA is filed under the name human gut metagenome. RNAcentral describes it as "FMN riboswitch (RFN element)". It matches the Rfam family "FMN riboswitch aptamer (RFN element)". From Rfam's summary of the family: The RFN element is a highly conserved domain that is found frequently in the 5'-untranslated regions of prokaryotic mRNAs that encode for flavin mononucleotide (FMN) biosynthesis and transport proteins. This element is a metabolite-dependent riboswitch that directly binds FMN in the absence of proteins. The record is from RNAcentral.